Cydia pomonella (codling moth) is the source of this 2232-nucleotide long non-coding RNA. RefSeq lists it as uncharacterized. The record is from RefSeq and is a predicted model, not a curated record. The transcript has 2 exons. NCBI's taxonomy places the organism in Eukaryota, Metazoa, Arthropoda, Insecta, Lepidoptera, Tortricidae.
AUUGGUACCGGGUGCACACGGACCAACAUUAAUCUUUCACGUGUCCUGAUAAAGACAUAAAACUUUAAAUAAUCUGAAUAAACUGCAGAAACUUACUUUACUUAUAAACCCUAAACGGGCCUAUUACAUGAAAUAUUAUUAAUUAUUGAAAAAGGGACUACGUUCUCGCUAAACUUUGUACUGUAACUGAACUUUUGUUUGUAAUUUUAGGAAUUGUGUAAUAGCUAGAGAAUGCAGCUUGUUACAUACUCCCACUACUGUCGGUGAUAGGCAAUUUCUUUAAUAAAGGGAAGGUUGUUAACGUUGCCGUCUUUGACGUUUUCUUUUAGGUUUAGGAAAGCGCGCACUAGGAAUAAGAAGGUUCGAACCAAAAUUAGUCGUUAGAUUUCCUUGGUCGAACUGAUCAUUCACCAAGUCAUAGGUAUAACUUUGGUUGUAAGACUUGUUUUUCUUUAUAGAUUAUCUAUGGUUUCUUAUUUACGUUUCGUAGGUUAAGGUGUUCACUUCCUAUUGGGCGUAUAUCAUUAAAAAAAAAAAUUUUUUUUGAAAAAAAAAAUUUUUUUUUUAACCCAACUAAAGAUGAACUGUAACACUUUGGGGUAUCCACCCAGUGUUAUAAACAGCUGAGUAGCAUAUUAUAUAGGUACUUUAUAGGUUAGAAAAUGGUAUGUUUGUUUUGGUAAGAUUUGGUAGUUGAAAUGUCUUCGACACGGAUGUCAUAGUGGGUCAGUCAAGAACUGAGACCUGUAGUGAUAUUUUCAACUUUACCUAUACGCUUUUAGCUAUAUUGAGUGGACAAAACUUACCGGAGCGGUAGGUCAGUCUGUGCGUUCACUCCGUUGCAUUUUGCGCAUCCAUGUCGUGUUCCUGCGUUGUGCUAGGACACAGGCACUUUGUUUGCGUUGGGGUAUAUACAUUUCACAAUUGAAAUACAUUUUAAAACAUAGAAAUACCACGUAUGUAUGAUUUCGAUAAAACCGAGCAGUUGUUUAUUUCAGCGGUAGACACUGACGGCUGUCAAUGUCAUUUGGUUUUUUUUGUCCAUGGUUCCGUAACAGAUGGUCGGUCACACUUGUUGUACGGCAAUAAACAUAUACUUGUGGUUCUUUUAUCUUUUUAUAAUUUCCAAUUAUUAAUAAAGUCCGUAUUAUUAGCUUCCCAAAAUGAGUAACUCUUUUUAUUGUUGAUGUUUCGAAUUAUUCCGAGAGUCAAACCGGUCAGUCGUGGUAUCCAUUGAAUUGGGAAGGUUUUCAUUCAUGAGUUUGUCUGUGGUUUCUCGGAUUGGAAUUUUGAUAAAUCAUUGUUCGAUCGAUCUUCGAGAUGUGAAGGAUAUUAGAAAAUCUUUCGGCAAUCAAUCUUAGGGCUCGUCCCAAAAUGUGCAUAAUUUAGCGUCUUAGAGCCUACCUAAAAUGGCGGCUGCUAAUCUUUUCCCUUCAAUUUAACAUAACUUGGUGAGUUUCCACACUUUUUAAAUAUAUAAAGAAGGAAAGGCGGAGGUAGUGUGUCCUUUCGCAAAUGGGUUAAUAUAGUGUUUUAUGUGGAUUUUCCAGCAAAACCUAAUGUAACGUCAACCACCUCUUCGUCUUGCCACGCGGUCUGCAGGCGCCGUCGUUGGUAUAGGAAAUAAUGGACCCGGCAUAAACCCCGGUAAGUCAUUUAAUCGCUUCAUUGCCUUAAUUUAAAUCGCGUUGUGCCUCAGUUUAAAAUAUAAUUUUUCUAUAAAACUAAACGUGUUAAAACAUAAUUUUUUUUAACCUAGAACAUUUUCUUUGUUCUUAGGGUUUUUUCCUGGACCCUGGUUUUUUCCUGGACCCUGGUUUUUUCCUGGACCCUGGUUUUUCUGGACCCUGGUUCUCUAAGGCUGUGCCAUCCGGUGGCAGCGUUCUUCUUGGCAGUGUCCGUGAAGUUAAGACUUUUAUGAAUAUACCUUUAGUUAAAUAUGGAUUCUUUACGCUGAACAGGUAACCUGUAAUCCCUGUGAGCAAUUGCUUACUGCUAAACAUCCCCGGAGGUUGGGGCAUAACUUUUACUUUAGACAGUGUUAUGUUAGGAAGACAAAUUUUGAUAUUGUUGUCCGUAGACACAGAGAUGUCUAUGAUGUAUUUAGUGUAAAUUUCAAGAAAUAGUGGUGUCACUAAGAAGUAUUUAGUAUUACUUAUUUACUAAUAAAUAACUCGUGUUGACCGUAGCGGGUCAUAUAUAUUUAAGGAAUAAAGGUGUGUAUUAAAUAAA